UCGGGGAUAGCCUUUCGAAAGAAAGAUUAAUACCCGAUGGCAUAGUUCUUCCGCAUGGUGGAACUAUUAAAGAAUUUCGGUCAUCGAUGGGGAUGCGUUCCAUUAGGUUGUUGGCGGGGUAACGGCCCACCAAGCCUUCGAUGGAUAGGGGUUCUGAGAGGAAGGUCCCCCACAUUGGAACUGAGACACGGUCCAAACUCCUACGGGAGGCAGCAUG
Molecule: ribosomal RNA, 217 nt
Filed under: uncultured bacterium
Lineage: Bacteria
Description: partial 16S ribosomal RNA
Rfam family: Bacterial small subunit ribosomal RNA
Source: RNAcentral